RNAcentral lists this unclassified non-coding RNA (2125 nucleotides) under Patiria miniata (bat star). RNAcentral's name for it is "17-beta-hydroxysteroid dehydrogenase 14-like, transcript variant X1". The record is from RNAcentral. Lineage: Eukaryota; Metazoa; Echinodermata; Asteroidea; Valvatida; Asterinidae.
CUGUCAACAGUUCACGAUUUCACGAAAUUAUCGGAAGUUAAGUUGAAGUAAUCAUUUGCAGAUAAGGAUCACGAGCGACUGAAACUUGUGACCGAUGAACCUUUGACCCAUUAAUACUAUAUCAUAGUAUGCAGGCCCGUGAUUGUUGUUCUACGGACCGGGUUUGAAACUUUGAGCCCAUCAUAUAGGGGCGGUUGCAUGCUCCGCCACCCACUGCACUGCGGUCCUUGCACGGUACGGUCAGUGACGGUGUAUCAAUCUUUUUGCAGUACUUUUUGCUCUCGCCCUCAAGAUGGCCAGUACAUGUACAUCAUGUACUCAUUUGAGAUACAAGGACAAGGUUGCCUUGGUUACUGGUGGAUCUAAAGGAAUUGGCGAAGGAGUUGUGCGGGAAUUUGUCAAGGCAGGAGCAAAAGUUGCAUUUUGUGCAAGAGGGGUGGAGGUUGGCAAAGCUCUGGAGGAUGAAGUCAACAAGGCUGGGCCAGGAGAAUGUUUCUUCAUUAAGUGCGAUGUCGAAAAUGAAGAGGAGAUUAAGAGAACUGUAGAGCAGACAGUGGAAAAAUAUAAAAGACUAGAUUGUCUGGUCAACAAUGCUGGAUGGCACCCCCCUGAGGAGUCCAUCGAUGACAUCACAGUGGAACAUUUCAAGUGGCUCAUCAACUUCAAUCUCGUCAGCUAUUUCUCCUUUAGCAAGUAUGCACUGCCCCAUCUCCGAAAGAACAAAGGCAACAUCAUCAAUAUGUCCAGUCUAGUAGCUAAGAUUGGGCAGAAGAGUGCUGUGCCGUACGUAACAACAAAGGGAGGUAUUGAUGCAAUGACGAGGGCUAUGGCUGUCGAUGAAGCCAAGUACGAAGUUCGUGUCAACAGCGUCUCCCCUGGCAAUGUUUGGACACCCCUGUGGGAAGGUUUGGCAAAUGCCUCUCCCAACCCUGAGGCAAUGAGGACAGGUGGAGCUGAGGCACAGCUGAUUGGUCGGUUUGGCACGCUGGAGGAAUCAGGCAAGCUGUGCUUAUUCAUUGCUGCCGACGCCACCUUCUGCACUGGCAACGACUAUUUGCUGUCGGGAGGGGCGGAGCUAAACUACGGGUGCAAGACCCAAAUGAAGGAACGCAGCAAUAUCUAUGAGUAAAUUGUCCUUGGGGCCAUGCAGUUCCAUGGAGAUAUUAAGUUGUUUUCUCUGAAUAAAUUUUCCCACCCAAAAACAACCAAUUUGCCGGGGACUGUAGCUAAAUGUGACUCGGUCCAUUUUAUGCUUCAAUAUCACUUGCUUCCAAGUGAUUGUGAAGGCACAGAUGGAGCCAAAGCCAAAAGUGAAGCCAGUGAUUCGGAAAUUGCACCACUUGUUGGUGGGGUUGGGUUGAGGUCUAGUAAAUUUUGGGGCAGCACUGAAAUUUUACUUUGUUAGGAAGACCCCACUGAUUGUUUUUAAUAAGUGCAAAUUGUGUAAUGUAUGAAAAAUUAAUCUAUAAACUAUUUUAAAAUGUCAGUACUUUUAACAAACUUAAUUGAUUCUUUCCAAACAUUGCCAAAAGAGAUAUAUCUUAAGAAAUAAUUUCUGUGUAAAAGUUAGUAGUAAAGCCUGUAUCAAUGUGCCUUCCAUUUCGUAAACACAGGAUUAUUAUGAAAAACUGUUAUAAUUUAGCUUGAAUUUAUCAAUUUGUAACUUCUGUAUCAAUUUCAAUUUUUCAAAUAAAUCUCGUAUCAGUUUCAGUUUGAAUUGGAGUAGAGUGAAUAUUGCUUGGUACUUUUGUCUAAGGAUAAAAAAUAUUUCUUAAGCCAGUUCACGUCUGGACUAUUUGAACAAGAACAGAAUGAGGCGUGGGAUUAUUUUUCACUGGACCUCAACAGAUGGAAGCCAUCACCCUCGGGCAGCGCACUCAUUCAAAUUUCCGGCCUCGCUCCCUGCGAGAGGGUCGCUGACAGAUAUUGCUGGCCUCGCUCCCUGCGUGUUUAUCUGUCAUCCGUUCCGAAUACUGCAAAACCUUAAUGAAUAAACACGUCAUGUGGCGCGAACUGGUUAAAUGUUAGCAUUUAUUCCAAUAUGUAAAAUUUUGAAUGAACUUUACAUUCAGUGUAAAAGUGUAGUUUAGGACACCUCCAUUUUUUACUAGUUCCAUUGGAAAAA